Centruroides sculpturatus (bark scorpion) is the source of this 749-nucleotide long non-coding RNA. RefSeq lists it as uncharacterized. The transcript is spliced from 3 exons. The record is from RefSeq and is a predicted model, not a curated record. Lineage: Eukaryota; Metazoa; Arthropoda; Arachnida; Scorpiones; Buthidae.
GCCAUCUAACUUUGCUGCAUUUCAUUACGGUGAAAUUGGUUGUUAUCGUCUGGUUCCGUCUCCGAUUGAAAUUAUCAGCCGUUCGGCCGAAAGAUCAGAAAAUCAAGGUUGUAAUUAUUUCCUUAAACGACGUCAUGAUGUAAUACGCGUUUAUCAAUAAAAUAAUGUAAACGCUGUCGUGUGUUAGCGGUUGUGUUAAAUGUCAACAGGCGCAACCAAGUAUGUCCGCCAGGGGAGGGUCGCCUGAUUGCAGAUAUAUUACACUGUUGUAUUGAAGAAAAUCAUCAAAUUGCCGAUUUAAUUAUAUGUCCGUAUAUAAAAUACAGGAUUUAUAUAAAGGUCAGAGAAAUAGAAAAGAUUUUCCAAAGAAGACAUGAAUUACUUAAGAAGCUAUUUUGAUAUCAUUUCAAUGAUUUAUAAGUAUGUUGUACUUAAAUGAAUUUAACAAUGAAGAUAAGUUUUUAAUGCAAACAAUAGGAAUAUUCUCUAAUUUUCUAUAAUCAUAAAAACAUUGGAGUGUAGGAGAAAUGAAGAAAGCUGCUGUGCCCCAGGACUUAUCAGAAGAAUGGGGUCUAUGAUCAGCAGCUUUUUUCGGACAGGUGGUCAUUUAUUGUCAUCUGGGAUUUCCGAGUCCACUCGGCAAACAGUGCUUGCACUGUUGGAAGAAAUGCGACAGAGGGAAAAUUCACAUAUUCAUUGGUCGGCCAUAGAAAGUUUUCUUGUGCAUAUUCCAAAGGUAGAUAAAAUAC